Molecule: ribosomal RNA, 119 nt
Filed under: Pteropus alecto (black flying fox)
Lineage: Eukaryota; Metazoa; Chordata; Mammalia; Chiroptera; Pteropodidae
Source: RNAcentral
GUCUACGACCAUGCUACCCUGAACAAGUCUGAUCCUGUCUAAUCUUGGAAACUAAGCAGGGUUGGGCCUGAUUAGUACUUAGAUGGGAGACCACCUAGGAAAACCAGGUGCUGUAGGUG